Non-coding RNA from Equus caballus (horse), 1395 nucleotides. The record is from the annotation of a RefSeq genome assembly. NCBI's taxonomy places the organism in Eukaryota, Metazoa, Chordata, Mammalia, Perissodactyla, Equidae.
GAAGCCUCUUUACCUCACAGCUCACUGUGGGGCACAUUCUGAGUAGACUCAACACCGGAAACAGUCAUUGUCAAGGGAGCAACUCUUACUAGUAGUCUGUAGAACUUACCUAAACAGGGAUCUCUUGAAUCUCAGAUUUUCUCAGUUACGAGGACUCAGCAUACUCUGGCAUAUUCCUUCCUGCUCCUCAGGGAAGAUCUUCCAGGAUAUAGCUCUCAGCUUCCUCACUGCCUGGCCAUGUUCUCAGUGACCAUUCUGCUGCUUGGAAUGCUCUUAACAGUGAGAGGAACUGGAGCCCAGUCAGUGACCCAGCCUGACGACCACAUCAGUGUCUCUGAAGAAACCUCUCUGGAGCUGAAGUGUAACUAUUCUAGUGGAAAUCUCUAUUUCUUCUGGUAUGUCCAGUACCCCAGCCAAGGCCUCCAGCUUCUCCUCAGGUACUCUUCAGGGCCCACCUUGGUUAAAGGCAUCAAAGGUUUUGAGGCUGAACUUAAGAAGAAUGAAACCUCCUUCCACCUGAGGAAAUCAUCAGCCCAUUUGGGUGACUCAGCUGUGUACUUCUGUGCUGCGAGUGACACAGUGACUGAGACUGCAGAGGGAGCUGAACAUAAACCUCAUGAGACACUGGAGUUUUCAGAGAUUCAAGGACACAGCUCAACCUGUUUUUAGCAAGGUCUCUCAUUUGAUGAAAGUGAGCAGAGUGGGGAGCAGAGCCCUGGGGAGCACUUGGCUCCUGAGAAUAAAGAAGAAGUUCAAUGUGUUCUUUGUUUUACUACUGGGUCAUGGUAAACAAGCCCUAGAACAGAGAAACGUAUAUGGAUAUUCUCCUUCAACUUGAAGAUGCUGCAUUCUAGAGGUUCAGGAUUCUAAUUUAAGGUGACCAAUACUGACUUCUGAUGUUUCACCUUCUGAACUCAUCUCCAGCAUGCUCCUCUCAUUACCUUUUGCUUUUCAAUUGAUAGCACCUCCAUUCUUUCAGUAUCUCUGGUCAUAAUCUCAGAGUCGUCUUUGACACUUUUCUCUUGCUGCUUACAUCUGUCAAAUUAAUAACAGAAAUCUCAUGAAAUUGGAGUUGGGAGGCCCAAAGGGGGAGCUCUCAUGCCCUAUAUCAAUAGCAGAGCCCAAUAGUAAGAAGACAGACUUCCUCUUCUUGAUCAGCAAGAAGCUCAGCCAAUGAGAUACUCUCAAAACUCAGUCAAUGAAAAGCCACUAUGUGUCAAACCCUCAAUUCUUCCAAUGGGCUCUAUUUACAAUAGCCCUCCCAACUGCCUCUUCCCUUUUAUAAAAGAGUUUCUCUUCCCUUGCUGCUGAUGGACUUGCACGUGGGUCACCAUGAUUGUAGACCCAAAUUGCAAUUUUUGCCGAUCCCAAAUAAACCCAUUUUUGCUGGAAAAA